GACGAACGCUGGCGGCGUGCUUAACACAUGCAAGUCGAACGAUGAAGCUAGAGCUUGCUCUGGUGAAUUAGUGGCGAACGGGUGAGUAACACGUGAGUAACCUGCCCCGAACUCUGGGAUAACUGCUGGAAACGGUAGCUAAUACUGGAUACGACCUACGAAGGCAUCUUCUGUAGGUGGAAAGAAUUUCGGUUCGGGAUGGACUCGCGGACUAUCAGCGUGUUGGUGAGGUAAUGGCUCACCAAGGCGACGACGGGUAGCCGGCCUGGGAGGGUGACCGGCCACACUGGGACUUAGACACGGCCCAGACUCCUACGGGAGGCAGCAGUGGGGAAUAUUGCACAAUGGGCGAAAGCCUGAUGCAGCAACGCCGCGUGAGGGAUGACGGCCUUCGGGUUGUAAACCUCUUAUAGUAGGGAAGAAGCGAAAGUGACGGUACCUGCAGAAAAAGCACCGGCUAACUACGUGCCAGCAGCCGCGGUAA
This 484-nucleotide ribosomal RNA is filed under the name uncultured bacterium. RNAcentral describes it as "partial 16S ribosomal RNA". It matches the Rfam family "Bacterial small subunit ribosomal RNA", at positions 28 to 523 of the family's 1533-position model. The record is from RNAcentral.